GAUGAACGCUGGCGGCGUGCCUAAUACAUGCAAGUCGAGCGAACAGAUAAGGAGCUUGCUCCUUUGACGUUAGCGGCGGACGGGUGAGUAACACGUGGGUAACCUACCUAUAAGACUGGGAUAACUUCGGGAAACCGGAGCUAAUACCGGAUAACAUUUGGAACCGCAUGGUUCUAAAGUGAAAGAUGGUUUUGCUAUCACUUAUAGAUGGACCUGCGCCGUAUUAGCUAGUUGGUAAGGUAACGGCUUACCAAGGCAACGAUACGUAGCCGACCUGAGAGGGUGAUCGGCCACACUGGAACUGAGACACGGUCCAGACUCCUACGGGAGGCAGCAGUAGGGAAUCUUCCGCAAUGGGCGAAAGCCUGACGGAGCAACGCCGCGUGAGUGAUGAAGGGUUUCGGCUCGUAAAACUCUGUUAUUAGGGAAGAACAAAUGUGUAAGUAACUGUGCACGUCUUGACGGUACCUAAUCAGAAAGCCACGGCUAACUACGUG
Molecule: ribosomal RNA, 497 nt
Filed under: uncultured bacterium
Lineage: Bacteria
Description: partial 16S ribosomal RNA
Rfam family: Bacterial small subunit ribosomal RNA
Source: RNAcentral